GGCGAGUGAAGCGGCAACAGCUCAAAUUUGAAAUCUGGCCUCGGCCCGAGUUGUAAUUUGCAGAGGAUGCUUCUGGCGCGGUGCCUUCCGAGUUCCCUGGGACGGGACGCCACAGAGGGUGAGAGCCCCGUAUGGUCGGACACCAAGCCUGUGUGAAGCUCCUUCGACGAGUCGAGUAGUUUGGGAAUGCUGCUCUAAAUGGGAGGUAAAUCUCUUCUAAAGCUAAAUACCGGCCAGAGACCGAUAGCGCACAAGUAGAGUGAUCGAAAGAUGAAAAGCACCUUGAAAAGGGGGUUAAAUAGUACGUGAAAUUGUUGAAAGGGAAGCACUUGUGACCAGACUUGGGCCGGGCGGCUCAUCAGGGGUUCUCCCCUGUGCACUCCGCCCGGCACAGGCCAGCAUCGGUUCUCGUGGGGGGAUAAGACCGUCAGGAACGUAGCACCCUCCGGGGUGUGUUAUAGCCUGGCGGACGAUACCCCCGUGGGGACCGAGGUUCGCGCUCCGCAAGGAUGCUGGCGUAAUGGUCACCAGUGACCCGUCUUGAAACACGGACCAAGGAGUCGUCCAUUAGAGCGAGCGUUUGGGUGUAAAACCCGCACGCGUAAUGAAAGUGAACGCAGGUGAGAGCUUCGGCGCAUCAUCGACCGAUCCUGAUGUCCUCGGAAGGAUUUGAGUAAGAGUUUUAACGGACGGACCCGAAAGACAGUGAACUAUGCUUGUAUAGGGUGAAGCCAGAGGAAACUCUGGUGGAGGCUCGCAGCGGUUCUGACGUGCAAAUCGAUCGUCAAAUAUGAGCAUGGGGGCGAAAGACU
This 812-nucleotide ribosomal RNA is filed under the name Diaporthe lithocarpi (nom. inval.). Its description in RNAcentral is "partial large subunit ribosomal RNA". It matches the Rfam family "Eukaryotic large subunit ribosomal RNA", at positions 88 to 932 of the family's 3401-position model. The record is from RNAcentral. Lineage: Eukaryota; Fungi; Ascomycota; Sordariomycetes; Diaporthales; Diaporthaceae.